AGCAGAUUGAAGGAAAAUUCUAGUGAAGCUGGCCCUAGUUUAAGGAGGCAGAAACAGAAAACAAAGAAUUCCUGGAAUGAGAAUUGUGCUGAUGUUGAAGAGUCAACACCAAACACAGACGAUGAGGAUUUGACUGUUGAAGAUCUAAUGCACAUGGCGGAAGAGUAUGCUGGUGAUGCUGAUGAAGAUUUGACCGUUGAAGAUUUGAUGAGCAUCGCUAAGGAGUAUGUUAAUGAGAAUGAGCAAGCUACAUCAGGCAAAGGAAAAAGUGGUCCAACGGAGGAUGCUAUUUCCAUGUCAAUAGGCUCAUUAAGUGAAGUUGACAAUCAAUCUUUGAGAAGAGAAACAAAUUUUGAUUGUAUUUCAAUUCAAGAGAGAACAAUUGAAGAUGCUUCUCCUAAGCUUAACAUGUCCGAGAAUCCGACCCAAGACAUGUUAGAUUUGUUUCUUGGUCCCCUAUUGAAGAAAACUCACG
This 475-nucleotide unclassified non-coding RNA is filed under the name Hevea brasiliensis (rubber tree). The record is from RNAcentral. Lineage: Eukaryota; Viridiplantae; Streptophyta; Magnoliopsida; Malpighiales; Euphorbiaceae.